This 457-nucleotide unclassified non-coding RNA is filed under the name Hevea brasiliensis (rubber tree). Lineage: Eukaryota; Viridiplantae; Streptophyta; Magnoliopsida; Malpighiales; Euphorbiaceae. The record is from RNAcentral.
AGAAAAGGGGUUCUUGGCAAAUCCCAGAAAUCGUCCUAAUCUGAGGAUAAGUCGGAGAAAUGAUUCAACUCAGCUGUAAUGGUGCUGAAUUAUUGAGCUUUUUUAACUGACGUGUAGUGGCUUCAUUAGUUUGAACAAGUGCGGUGGCAUACAGGGAAUAUAUAAUAAUUUCCCCACAAUCAGAACUUGCUGCGCAUGAACAUUAAGAUUCAGACAUUUCUUCAGACAAUCGAGUCAAAGAAAUUCACUUCAAAAGUUCCAUUAGUUGAGAGACGAUCAUCUGGAGCAGGAACUAGCAAUGGCCAUUAUUUCUCAGUUUCAUUGGUUGGGUUUUCUAUGGGAAUUAUUCUCCGAAAAUUCCCAAGAAGAACACCAAUGUUCUCCACAACAAAAACACACUCCAAAAGGGUGUCCCAAUCCGCUGCCUUGCAUAUCUCAACAAGCCUGAGAUUCCAGU